Alligator mississippiensis (American alligator) is the source of this 4923-nucleotide long non-coding RNA. RefSeq lists it as uncharacterized. The record is from RefSeq and is a predicted model, not a curated record. The transcript has 2 exons. Lineage: Eukaryota; Metazoa; Chordata; Crocodylia; Alligatoridae.
CUGCUUGACAAGAGGUUGAGAAGGUUGAGAGGUGUUUAGCCAAGAGAAAACAACGAGCAUUAAACACAAGCAUUUUUUUUAGCUAGUACUCCAUUCACAUAGUUCAUUGGUGCCAUGGCAGAUUUCUUCAUUUUCCCUCCUGAAAAUUUAACAUUUAUCUAAUAAUCUAUUGCUGUGUUUAAGUACUGUAUUUCACUGCACAAGGAGUAUACAUAAUUUUUUUACCUUUGUCUAACUGAAUUGACUAUUGAUUCAGUCCAUGUGCUCAGUUAUAGUGAGUUUUUCUAGACUUCUCAUAAGAUAAUUUGGAUCACCUUUUUUGAAAACUGGCAUCUACAGUAUACACAGGACUAAAAGCAUGUGUAGACAACAAAAGCAUUAAUCUAGACUGCCCAAACAUUUUAAUGUGGCUUUUUUUUGGUGCGGUGCAUUUUUGUUCGCAUGUCACGGCGUUCGUGUUUGCACGAAAGGUGCUUUCAAAUGAGUUAAGCCCCCAUGUGUCAUUUCCUCCAGAUUUCAGUAAGGGGAGUCAAAUACCAAUUUACGCCCUAGACUGGUCAAGUGGGGUGCAGUAAAGCUUUGAUGCCCACACCUCUGUAAUGUGCGACUCGAAAGAGGACAUGGUGACGUGCUACAUCCCUCCUUUGAUCCCCUUCCACUGCUAGCUGCAAGCUGAUCAAUUCCUGUUGGUAUGACAAGAGGCAGAAAGAGAAAGGAAGAAAGAGAAAAUGAAGAGCAUGACAACACUUCCUUCAGGAUUUAUUCUUUCAACAACUGAACUAUUAUGCAUUCUAAUCAUAAUUGACUUUCAUCCUGCCUGAUAUAGACUUAUAAUAACAGGUAAUACUAACAGUAGGAGGCAGCUAUUAAUUUCAGUAGUAAUAUAUUAAUAAGAUUUUAUAGUAAUAGUAAUAUUAAUGUUGAUUUGUUAAUGAUCAUUAAUUAUUGUAAAGGUUCAAUUCCUUCUCACAGCAUUUCAAAAUAGGUAGAUCUCCCUUAUUACCCUGCACACAUCACACACAGCCUGAGCCUCCACCAUGUAUGUGUAGCCAAUGUAUGAUAUAGACUUCUGUUUUAUAUACUUCUGUUAUAUAUAGAAUUACAGUUUGAUUAAUUACCAUGAGAAAGCAGAUACUGAGCAUAAGGCAGGUGAUUAUGCACCCACCCUCCCUGCCUCUUUCACCAUGGGGGGUGGGGGUGGGGGUGUGUGUGUGUGUGUGUGUGUGUGUGUGUGUGAAGGAAAUGCCCACCUCCUGAUUCCUAAACUUGUCUUACUUCCUUCUCCUGGUUGCUGCCCACAAGUACUGCUGAGGCUUUUCCUUUGUGUAAUACUUGAAUUGUGGAAGCUUUCUUUGCAGGCUUUGGCCUGCGCAUCAACUCGAGUAUGGUAAGAGUUGCACAAGUUCUGCAGGUCCAUUUCAUAUUAUUCUCGCCCUUCUCCUGCCUGGUGGCCCUGUUCAGCAUAGAUUUAAUAGAGUUCAUAGAUUUCUAGGGUUGGAAGGGACCUUGUACAUCAUCAAGUCUGACCCCCUGCUCUAGUCAGUCUAGUUAAAUAACCCCAGCUAGGUGCCUGUCUAAUCUGUUCUUGAACACCUGUAAGGUAGGGAAAAGCACCACCUCCCUUAGAAGCCCAUUCCAUAUUUUGGCAACCCUCACAUAAGGAAUUUUUUUCUGAUAUCCAAUCUUCUUUAGUUUGCAGCCAUUAUUUCUAGUAACCCCGAAGGGCACCCUAGUAAACAGAGUAUCCCGUAUUCCCUGCUGCCCCCCCAGGAUGAGUUUGUAGACAGCCACAAGAUCACCUCUCAGCCUUCUCUUGCGGAGGCUGAAGAGAUUCAGGUCCCUCAGUCUGUCUCCAUGGGAUCUUAUCCGCAGGUCCUCAACCAUUUGAGUAACCAUUCUCUGAACCCUCUCAAGGUUAUCCACAUCCCUCUUGAAGUGUGGCACCCAAAACUGGACACGCUACUCCAGCUGUGGCUUGACCAAUGCUGCAUAGAGGGGAAGUAUCACCUCUCUAGACCUGCUCAUGAUGCACCUAGUAAUGCAAGGAGUGCAGUUAGCCUUACUUAUUACCUCGUCACAUUGGCGACUCAUAUUCAUUUUUGCAUUGACCAAGACUCUGAGAUCCCUUUCCACUGCCAUGGUACUCAGACUGGCACUUCCCAGUCUAUAGGUGUAUUGGAGAUUCUUUCUCCCUAAGUGCAGCACCUUGUAACUUGUCCUUGUUAAAUUGCGGAGCUUUUAAAUGACUUCUUUGCAUCUGUGUUCCUGGACAUGGAUACAAACAUGCUUCCCAAUAAGACUUUAGUCUGGUGUGAGACUAAAGGACCUCUACAGAAUGGUCUAGAGCAACUAAAGCAAGCUGUUCUUGGGGGCUAUGACCACUGCAUUGGCAGAGGGCUCAGGUCGCAGGGGGUGCCUUCCACUAAAGAAGUUUGAGUUUUAACUCUGAAUUGUGGAGGCCUUCUUAGGCCUUCUUGGUUGCUGUCCAAGACCUCUGCAGUAUGGGUAGUAGACUCUUCGCCCCACUUACCCUCUGCCUUACACCUCAGCAACCAAGCAGAUACAUCCUGAACUGACCUCUCUCCAUUGCACCCUUGUAAAAAACCUGCCUGCUUCUCACCCAGAAGCCAAGGCUUCUUCACAUGCUUUGGCACAAGCAUCAGCACUUGCCCUAGGUCUUACACCUCUCUGUUGCAUCCUUGGAACUUUGCUGUCGGUGGUGGCCACAAAGCCUUCUUCUUGGUUGCUGGCCAAGACCUCUGUGGUCCGAGUAUUAGGCUCUUCACCCCACUUGCCUCUGCCUUACACCUCUGGCCUUCCUCCUGGUUAGCUCUGACCACUGCAGUGGAAAAAGCUGAGGCUUUCUUCCACUAAGGAAGCUGAUGAGGCUUGAGUUUCUCCUCUGAAUCGCGGACGUUUUCUUCUUGGUUGCUGGCCAAGACCUCCAUGGUCCAAAUUGUAGGCUCCUCACCCACCUUGUUCUCUACAUUACACCUCUCCGUUUCAGCCUUGUAUCUCUGGAGUCGCUGCUGGCCAAAAAGCAAGAUGUGAUUGUGAGCUAUGACCACUGCAGUGGCAGAGGGCUCAGGUUGCAGGGGGUGCCUUCCACUAAGGAAGCUGUGGUUUGAGUUUCUCCUCUGAAUUGCGGAGGCCUUUUUCUUGGUUGCUUUGCUUGCUUUCUGUCUUACACCUCUCACCCUCCUCCUGGUUAGCUUUGACCACUGCAGUGGCAGAAGCUGAGGCUGUUUCACUGGCUUUGGCCUGAGCAUCAGCUUGAUUUGCACAAGUACUGCAGGCCCACUUCAUAUAGUUUUGUUGCCCUCCACCUGGUUACUGGCCAUGUACCAGCAAAUUUGGAUUGGGGUACAUGUCUUCUGACACCCACCCACUACUCUGUCUCCUUGAGGGAGGUUUCUAUAUUUUAAUAAGGAGAUUUUAAAUACAUUUUAAAUAAAAAAGGAAAUUUUAAAUAAAUAAAUAAUAAUAGAAAGUCCCCCCCACCUCUCCAGAGGAGGGUACAUGGGCGGGCAGGAAGACAGGAGUGUAUAUGGGUGGCGAGGGGAUAGGACAUACACUAUAGGUAGUGUGGGGGCCCAAAGAUUAAGAGGGGUAGAAAAUUAACAUAUUAUUUCUCUCCCCUGCCUAUGCCUCCCUCCAUCCCUCUCCCUGACCCACAUAAGCUUUGUGCCCAGCAAAGAUUCCAAAGCUACAAAGUGACAUGUAGAGUGAGUAGCAUGGCCUGACUCAGCCAGCCAGCUGAGUUGGUCCAUUCAUCUGCACUUGAGGGGGCCCCAAACAUGCCUGGGAGCCCCCACCUGAGGGGGUCCCCUUUGGGACCAUGGCUGGGGCUCCUCCUUGACCCAGCCACAUUCCUGCUGGGACAUAGUAACCAGGAAGGGGGUGCAGGAUGCCUCCCUCCCUUUGCCUCUCUCCCCCACCCACCCAUCUGGGGGCCCCCUCCAUAAGCUUUGUUCCCAGCAAAGAUUCCAAAGCUACAAUGCAAUGGAGAACAGCAUGCCUGCCUAACUAAGUUUUGUGGUUGGGUUUGCUUUCUUUCUUGCAAGAAAAUGCUGUUUGUGCCUGGUUCUGAAAUGGAAUGUGAUGAAGUUCAGAAGAUUUGCAAUAUUGAAGGAAGUCAUGUAACCACUCACUCCAAAGUUUCAAACUCAGCCGUCUUCCUGCUGGGACAUGUUCAGGAACUGGGAAGGGGGUGCAGGAAGCCCCACCCACCUGGGGUCUCCCUCCCUCUCUCCCUCCAUCCCUGAGCUUUGUUCCCAAUGAAGAUUCCAAAGUUACAAAGUGACACGGAGAGAGUGGCAUGGCCCAACUCAGCCAGCCAGUCAAGUUGGGUCAUUCGUCUCCACCUGAGGGGGGCCCCAACCAUGCCUGGGGGCCCCCACCUGAGGGGGCCCCUAGGGGACCAUGCCUGGGGGCCCCUCCCUAACUAAGCUUUGUGGGUGGGUUUCUUUCUUGCAAGAAAAUGCUAGCAGACUAGUACUGGCCAAGCAUUUGACCUCCCUCCAUCUGAAAACAGUCCAUCCUGCAACUUUCCAGUAAUGCCAUGACUCCAUAAAAGUUGCACAGUCAUCAGUAACCAGGAAGGGUCAAUAACCAGGCUGGCUGGCUGCCUGCCUCCCUCCAUUCCUCCCUCUUGCCCUCCCACCAUGCAGCCCUCCAUUCAUCCAUAUCAUAUCAAGGGAUUACUCAAGAGACAUGGGAGCAUAUUGUGAAUUGGUGUUUUAUCCUAUUGUCUUGCAUUUGCUGGCAAUGGCUGUAGUGUAAAAAAAUGUAUUCAGCAGUUGACUACCAACAGCAUUGUUGAGUAAAAAAAAAAGUCUGUACUAUUUUAGCUUUAUUGUAGUUUCUCAAUGGAAUGGAUUGCAAUUCAAUUUAUUGUGAAAAAAAUUAAGAUGUGGAACAAAA